Molecule: non-coding RNA, 21 nt
Filed under: Caenorhabditis elegans
Lineage: Eukaryota; Metazoa; Nematoda; Chromadorea; Rhabditida; Rhabditidae
Source: RNAcentral
UUAAAAAAAAACCAUCACAAG